AUAUUUGCCUGGCAGGGAAGAUAACAUGAUCACAAAGGUGGUUUUCCCAGGGUGAGGGUUCUCCAUUGCACUAUGGAUUUACUGACCCCUGCAAUUUCCCAAAUGUGGGAAACUUGACUACAUAAUUUGUGGUAGUAGGGGACCCCCUU
RNAcentral lists this small nuclear RNA (149 nucleotides) under Nannospalax galili (Upper Galilee mountains blind mole rat). RNAcentral describes it as "U1 spliceosomal RNA (ENSNGAG00000006091.1)". It matches the Rfam family "U1 spliceosomal RNA". From Rfam's summary of the family: U1 is a small nuclear RNA (snRNA) component of the spliceosome (involved in pre-mRNA splicing). Its 5' end forms complementary base pairs with the 5' splice junction, thus defining the 5' donor site of an intron. Lineage: Eukaryota; Metazoa; Chordata; Mammalia; Rodentia; Spalacidae. The record is from Rfam by way of RNAcentral.